RNAcentral lists this ribosomal RNA (200 nucleotides) under uncultured bacterium. RNAcentral's name for it is "partial 16S ribosomal RNA". It matches the Rfam family "Bacterial small subunit ribosomal RNA", at positions 29 to 259 of the family's 1533-position model. The record is from RNAcentral.
AACGAACGCUGGCGGCAGGCUUAACACAUGCAAGUCGAAUGCCCCGCAAGGGGAGUGGCGGACGGGUGAGUAACGCGUGGGAAUCUACCCAUCUCUACGGAAUAACUCAGGGAAACUUGUGCUAAUACCGUAUACGCCCUUCGGGGAAAGAUUUAUCGGAGAUGGAUGAGCCCGCGUUGGAUUAGCUAGUUGGUGGGGUA